UUGCCAGCCCGCUCAAGAAACUCAAAUGAAUUGACGGGGGCCCGCACAAGCGGAGGAGCAUGUGGUUUAAUUCGAUGAUACGCGAGGAACCUUACCUGGGCUCGAACGUAAGAUGACUGUAGGUGAAAGCUUACAUCUCUUCGGAGCAUUUUACGAGGUGCUGCAUGGUUGUCGUCAGCUCGUGCCGUGAGGUGUCGGGUUAAGUCCCAUAACGAGCGCAACCCCUACCUUUAGUUGCCAUCAGGUAAUGCUGGGGACUCUAAAGGAACUGCCUACGCAAGUAGUGAGGAAGGCGGGGAUGACGUCAAAUCAGCACGGCCCUUACGUCCAGGGCUACACACGUGCUACAAUGGCCGGCACAACGGGAAGCGAGUUCGCGAGGACGAGCGGAUCCCUCAAAGCCGGUCGCAGUUCGGAUUGAAGUCUGCAACUCGACUUCAUGAAGCUGGAAUCGCUAGUAAUCGUGGAUCAGCCAAGCCGCGGUGAAUACGUUCCCGGGCCUU
Molecule: ribosomal RNA, 503 nt
Filed under: uncultured Sphingobacteriales bacterium
Lineage: Bacteria; Pseudomonadati; Bacteroidota; Sphingobacteriia; Sphingobacteriales
Description: bacterial SSU rRNA
Rfam family: Bacterial small subunit ribosomal RNA
Source: RNAcentral